Molecule: unclassified non-coding RNA, 1195 nt
Filed under: Leishmania donovani
Lineage: Eukaryota; Euglenozoa; Kinetoplastea; Trypanosomatida; Trypanosomatidae
Description: gene:unknown
Source: RNAcentral
CUUCUUUUCAGCGACACGGCGCAGCAAUUAAGACCCGAAUUACAACGAAAGGCAGCUGGCAGAAGAUUAUGAGGGGGGGGGCUCGGCAGAAAUCCAUCACCUCUCCUGUCCGGCAUCGGUGACUUGCACAUCAGCCUUGACUCAGCGGAGUGUGACUCAGUACAUCUUCUUUUUGCUCAUGGCUUUCGCAUCCGCUUAUAAGUGGGCUCGCAGCUGUUUCUCCAGCAAACGCGACACUGCUUGAUUUUCUGUCACUUACGCCAGGACACCGAGAAGUCUUGCACCUGUCCCUGGCAAGCCACCCGUGUGCUACUCGGCCUUUGCUCCACGAAUGCCGUACUUGUGGGGCGUCAUGGGCAAGCACAACCUUCCUGUAAAGGCCGUAUUGAUGUGGAGGCCAUCGAUGUCGAAAGAGAUAGCAAGUGCCUUCUCAGGCGUCGACAUCGACUCAGUUUUUCGGCACAACAUGAAAACCAAAAGCGCUUCUCCUAGGAUUUCAAGACGCACCUGGCAGCAGAACGGGGGCAACUUUUAGAAAAGUUUCCCUCUUCACAAACUUUUUUUUUCUUGUUCUCAUGCCGGUAACUAUCUUCUUGUGUGUCUUGUGUAACAUUAUCCCUCCUACAUGCCUGAGAAUAGCUGCUUCUGCUGAGCUCCCGCUCUUAACUUCUUCCGUAGAGCAAGAGUGGCAAUGGCAGCAUGUGAAAGUAAUCAUAAUAAACAUGGAAGCAUACCAAUGAGAGCCUUUGACAAUUUAUCUGUGUCCUGUAGCUUCCACCUCAAUAGAAAGGGGGAAAAAGAGGCACACCAGCGUAAACCUGUUUUGGUUUCAACACUUUCUCUCUCUUGAUCUCGAAUCCACUAGCGACAGCAGUAUAAAGGUCAUAAUGAAAAAAAAGAAGGAGAGCACUUGCAUGUUGGAUUGUUGCCUGCUUACCCAACCAAGCUUAACCGGUAAACUCAUCAUGCACGUGACACUUCCUGCCUGAGAGAAGGAAGAACACGAAGUACAGUCUCUGUUUACAAUGCAAAGCAAUCAGACUCCGUCGCCUAGCCGCUAUUUGAUACACCACACGACUUCAUUCAUUCUGCCUUUACGCCUUUCCGCACUGAUAUAUAUAUAUAUAUAUAUAUAUAUAUAUAUAUAUAUAAUUUUUCUCCCUCCUCUUCCUUGGUUGCGCAAUUAUUUUGGCAG